Molecule: ribosomal RNA, 205 nt
Filed under: uncultured bacterium
Lineage: Bacteria
Description: partial 16S ribosomal RNA
Rfam family: Bacterial small subunit ribosomal RNA
Source: RNAcentral
UGCGCAGGUGGGUUGGCAAGUUUGAUGUGAAAGCCCCGGGCUUAACCCGGGAAUGGCAUUGAAUACUGCUGAUCUGGAGGAUUGGAGGGGGGACUGGAAUUCUUGGUGUAGCAGUGAAAUGCGUAGAUAUCAAGAGGAACACCAGUGGCGAAGGCGAGUCCCUGGACAAUACCUGACACUGAGGCACGAAAGCCAGGAGCAAACA